Molecule: ribosomal RNA, 1426 nt
Filed under: Klebsiella pneumoniae
Lineage: Bacteria; Pseudomonadati; Pseudomonadota; Gammaproteobacteria; Enterobacterales; Enterobacteriaceae
Description: bacterial SSU rRNA
Rfam family: Bacterial small subunit ribosomal RNA
Source: RNAcentral
UGCGGCAGCUACACAUGCAGUCGAGCGGUAGCACAGAGAGCUUGCUCUCGGGUGACGAGCGGCGGACGGGUGAGUAAUGUCUGGGAAACUGCCUGAUGGAGGGGGAUAACUACUGGAAACGGUAGCUAAUACCGCAUAACGUCGCAAGACCAAAGUGGGGGACCUUCGGGCCUCAUGCCAUCAGAUGUGCCCAGAUGGGAUUAGCUGGUAGGUGGGGUAACGGCUCACCUAGGCGACGAUCCCUAGCUGGUCUGAGAGGAUGACCAGCCACACUGGAACUGAGACACGGUCCAGACUCCUACGGGAGGCAGCAGUGGGGAAUAUUGCACAAUGGGCGCAAGCCUGAUGCAGCCAUGCCGCGUGUGUGAAGAAGGCCUUCGGGUUGUAAAGCACUUUCAGCGGGGAGGAAGGCGGUGAGGUUAAUAACCUCAUCGAUUGACGUUACCCGCAGAAGAAGCACCGGCUAACUCCGUGCCAGCAGCCGCGGUAAUACGGAGGGUGCAAGCGUUAAUCGGAAUUACUGGGCGUAAAGCGCACGCAGGCGGUCUGUCAAGUCGGAUGUGAAAUCCCCGGGCUCAACCUGGGAACUGCAUUCGAAACUGGCAGGCUAGAGUCUUGUAGAGGGGGGUAGAAUUCCAAGUGUAGCGGUGAAAUGCGUAGAGAUCUGGAGGAAUACCGGUGGCGAAGGCGGCCCCCUGGACAAAGACUGACGCUCAGGUGCGAAAGCGUGGGGAGCAAACAGGAUUAGAUACCCUGGUAGUCCACGCUGUAAACGAUGUCGAUUUGGAGGUUGUGCCCUUGAGGCGUGGCUUCCGGAGCUAACGCGUUAAAUCGACCGCCUGGGGAGUACGGCCGCAAGGUUAAAACUCAAAUGAAUUGACGGGGGCCCGCACAAGCGGUGGAGCAUGUGGUUUAAUUCGAUGCAACGCGAAGAACCUUACCUGGUCUUGACAUCCACAGAACUUUCCAGAGAUGGAUUGGUGCCUUCGGGAACUGUGAGACAGGUGCUGCAUGGCUGUCGUCAGCUCGUGUUGUGAAAUGUUGGGUUAAGUCCCGCAACGAGCGCAACCCUUAUCCUUUGUUGCCAGCGGUUAGGCCGGGAACUCAAAGGAGACUGCCAGUGAUAAACUGGAGGAAGGUGGGGAUGACGUCAAGUCAUCAUGGCCCUUACGACCAGGGCUACACACGUGCUACAAUGGCAUAUACAAAGAGAAGCGACCUCGCGAGAGCAAGCGGACCUCAUAAAGUAUGUCGUAGUCCGGAUUGGAGUCUGCAACUCGACUCCAUGAAGUCGGAAUCGCUAGUAAUCGUAGAUCAGAAUGCUACGGUGAAUACGUUCCCGGGCCUUGUACACACCGCCCGUCACACCAUGGGAGUGGGUUGCAAAAGAAGUAGGUAGCUUAACCUUCGGGAGGGCGCUACCACU